GGGGUGAUUGCAGCAGCCCCCCCCUGCCCCGUGACAAGGGGCCCCGUGACCUUCCGCCAGGCCAGGCCAGGCGCGUGGGGUUAUAGGAGAUGGCGGUGACCCCCGACCGACUCCUAGGAUCUAAGCAGACCUGUGUGCCAGGGGAGCAGCACACCAGAGGCUUGUCAGGAGGGGGCUCCCAUCAGGAGAGAGGCAUCGGCAAGGCGACCCAUGGCUGGUAGGGGGCCCGCCUUGCUGUGUGUGAAAUGCAGGCGUGAGCCCUGGCACCCUGUGCCGAGUGCCUGGGGGAGGCCCAGGGCUGUGGUCGCUCUCUCUCUGCAAACAACAGUGAGGACCCAGGAGUGACCAAGUGACCAAGGGUCCGCACGCAGAAAGCCUGGCUGGCAGCGAGUCAGCCCAGUGCUGGUAGUUCAUGGUGAUUGUGCGGACAGACGGCGGCUGUCCACUUCUUCCCGUCUUGAAGGAUUUCAGUUUCACGACCUACAUUAAGCUGUGUCGGAAACAUCAGGCAAUUUGGGCCGCGUGUGAAGAUGCUGGACGUGGCGUAUUUCCAAUGAAACCAGGCUGGGGAGGCCACACGUCAUCGCUCCAGGUCAGCAGAAAUCUAUCUUCCACCAGGUUCCAGAUGCUACCAUGAUGCCAACCAGACUUCCCUGGACAGACGACUCCACCAAUGUGUCCUGGAGCUCCGCUUCCCCAGAGCCCUGCCCCACUAGGGAAAGGGAGAGACAGGCUGGGAGUAUGGAUCCACCUGUCAACACCCAUGUUUAGCGGGGAAGCAGUUACAGAAGCCAGACCUUCCACCUUCUGCAUCCCACAGUGACCCUGGGUCCCUGCUCCCAGAGGGAUAGAGAAUGGGAAAGCUAUCAGGGGAGGGGAUGGGAUACGGAGUUCUGGUGGCGGGAACUGUGGAGUUGUACCCCUCUUAUCCUAUGGUUUUGUCAGUGUUUCCUUUUUAUAAAUAAAAAAAUAAAUAAUAAAUAAUAAAAAAAGAAUCACAAGUCCCCCCGCCCCUAUAAAAGAAUCACAAGCCCAUAUACUAAUAAAUAUUUCUCUUCCCCCCCAAAAAAAGCACAUGUUACCAUGUUCAAGGACCCGGGUUCAAGCCCCCAGUCCCCACCUGCAGAAGAAAAGCUUCACAAGUGGUGAUUCAGGGCUGCUGGUGUCUCUCUGCCUCUUUCCCUCCCCCAUUCAAUUUCUCUCUAUCUCUAUCCAAUAAUAAAUAAAUAAAAGAUAAAAAACCA
Long non-coding RNA from Erinaceus europaeus (western European hedgehog), 1244 nucleotides. RefSeq lists it as uncharacterized. The transcript is spliced from 3 exons. Lineage: Eukaryota; Metazoa; Chordata; Mammalia; Eulipotyphla; Erinaceidae. The record is from RefSeq and is a predicted model, not a curated record.